This 599-nucleotide ribosomal RNA is filed under the name uncultured bacterium. Its description in RNAcentral is "bacterial SSU rRNA". It matches the Rfam family "Bacterial small subunit ribosomal RNA", at positions 9 to 615 of the family's 1533-position model. The record is from RNAcentral.
GAGUUUGAUCAUGGCUCAGAUUGAACGCUGGCGGCAGGCUUAACACAUGCAAGUCGAGCGGGGACUUCGGUCCUAGCGGCGAACGGGUGAGGAAUGCUUGGGAAUCUGCCUAGUAGUGGGGGAUAACGUUUCGAAAGGAACGCUAAUACCGCAUACGCCCUACGGGGGAAAGGGGGGGAUCUUCGGACCUCUCGCUAUUAGAUGAGCCCAAGUCGGAUUAGCUAGUUGGUGAGGUAAAGGCUCACCAAGGCGACGAUCCGUAGCUGGUCUGAGAGGAUGAUCAGCCACACUGGAACUGAGACACGGUCCAGACUCCUACGGGAGGCAGCAGUGGGGAAUAUUGGACAAUGGGCGAAAGCCUGAUCCAGCCAUGCCGCGUGUGUGAAGAAGGCCUUCGGGUUGUAAAGCACUUUAAGCGAGGAGGAAUGGCUCUGGGUUAAUACCCUUGAGCAGUGACGUUACUCGCAGAAUAAGCACCGGCUAACUCUGUGCCAGCAGCCGCGGUAAUACAGAGGGUGCAAGCGUUAAUCGGAAUUACUGGGCGUAAAGCGCGCGUAGGCGGUUACGUAAGUUGGAUGUGAAAUCCCCGGGCUCAACCU